This 2028-nucleotide long non-coding RNA is filed under the name Citrus x clementina. RNAcentral describes it as "Citrus clementina (C. clementina) long non-coding RNA (CCLE_LNC000069)". Lineage: Eukaryota; Viridiplantae; Streptophyta; Magnoliopsida; Sapindales; Rutaceae. The record is from RNAcentral.
GAGAAUUUUAUUACGAAAUAAAAUUUCAAAUUUGCUAAUUUUGGUAAAUGUUAUUAUAAAAGAGGCCUAAAAUCCUACUUUUUUCAUUCAGAUUUACUAUCAAUCAACCUUUUAAUGUUUCGGCAUCGUCAUUAUAUCAUUUCCACUCAUGUAGGAUUAACAAGGAAGACGAUGGGGUUCCCUUUGGUGCAUGGCUGUCCCGAACAGAAGCCACAAAAACAAUGAUCAAUGUUGUUUUCUUGUGAUAUAAAAGUCAUGAAGCCAUGUAAAGUAGUUUCUAGGUUAUGUUACCCACCGCCAUGUGCAAUCUUUAUUUUUCUUUAUUAUUUGUGAUCGGAUAAAGAAGCAUGUAGCUAGAAAAUAUUAACAGACAACAAUAUGACCAAUGUGUAACCUUUAUCACAACCUUGUUGGCUGUUGCGGUUUAAGAGUAUGUAAAGACAACAACAUUUACACUUUGCACGUUGUCUUUUUGUUUCCUCACCGCCAUGUGCGAUCUUUAUUUUUCUUAAUUAUUUGCGAUCUGAUGAAGAAGCAAGUAGCUAGAAAAUAUUAACAGCCAACAAGUGACCACUGUGUAACGCUUUACCACAACCUUGCUGGCUGUUGCUGUUUAAGAUUACGUAAAGACAACACCAUCUAAACUUUGCACGCUGUCUUUAGUUAUUCAUGAUAACAACAUUCCACUGCCUAUGUUGCAGAAAUAGAUAUGUUAUUGACAAAGUCCAUGUGUUGCACGUUGUUAAGUGACUACUGUGUAACACUUUACCACAACCUUGCUGGCUUUGCUGUUGAAGAGUAUGUAAAGACAACAUCUAAAAUUGUUAUUCAUGAUAACAACAUUCAACUGCCUAUGUUGCUGAAGUAGAUAUGUUACUGACAAAGUCCAUGUGUUGCACGUUGUUAAGUGACUACUGUGUAACACUUUACCACAACCUUGCUGGCUUUGCUGUUGAAGAGUAUGUAAAGACAACAUCUAAACUUGUUAUUCAUGAUAACAACAUUCCACUGCCUAUGUUGCUGAAGUAGAUAUGUUACUGACAACGUCCAUGUGUUGCACGUUGUUAAGUGAUCACUGUGCAACGCUUUAUCACAACCUUGCUGGCUGUUACUGUUUAAGAGGAUGUGAAGACAACACCAUCUAGACUUUGCACCUUGUCUUUAGUUAUUAAUGAUGACAACAUUCAAAUGCAUAUGUUGCAGAAAUAGUUAUGUAAAUGACAACGUCCAUGUGUUGCACGUUGCACUACAACAAACAAUAGCAUUACCGUCCAGAUAUUUCCGAGGGCUUCAUUUACCCUCGGUAAUAAGUGCAUUUUACGAAGGCUAAGAAGAGCCGUCCGAUAUGCAUUAAAAAAUUCAUUAAUUUUUUCAAAGACAAAUUACCUUCGCUGAUAAAGAAUAAAGUGGUCGGUAAAUAGAUAACUAAUACUGAAAGUACAUUUUUGUUGUAAAGUAUAUUUUUGUUGUAAAGUUCAAAACAAGAUAAAGGCCUUUAGUGCAUGGGCUUUGCCUAAUUAAAAGUGAGAACAUAAUUUUAGUGACUAAUUAAAUUCUAAAUUGAACUUUUAAUAGGGUCUUGCUUUUGCUAGCUUAAAAAAUUAGAUAAAAACACAUAUAUUUCCACCAAUUAAAAAUAACUCAUUUAUGUCGAAGCUCGAUCUCUCUAGGAUGAACCAUUUCGGAAACAUUGAUGAAAAGGAAAAAAAAAUAUUAAUUUACUAUAUUCUAAGAUAAUCUUUUUUCAUAUCUUAUAUUUUCUUUUCGUUUUUCCUUCUUUCAAAAGUAAUUCCUUUAAAUUAAAGCCAUAUUUUAGCUAAAAGAUACAGAUAUUCAUUCCAAAAUUUUAAAAGCACAAUAAACUGACAAGCAAGAAUCUAGUCUAACCACGUCAUUGAUGGAUAAAUUCUACUUAAUUUAGACCUUAAGAGUGUGGGACAUGCCGAAUUUUAAACUUCAGCCGUAGAUCAGCUAUCUGUACCAAGCGCUAGUAUUGGCCGCCUCACACUCAUGCGCCCACUUGAUCUA